Molecule: ribosomal RNA, 303 nt
Filed under: uncultured ammonia-oxidizing bacterium
Lineage: Bacteria
Description: bacterial SSU rRNA
Rfam family: Bacterial small subunit ribosomal RNA
Source: RNAcentral
ACCAGCCACACUGGGACUGAGACACGGCCCAGACUCCUACGGGAGGCAGCAGUGGGGAAUUUUGGACAAUGGGGGAAACCCUGAUCCAGCCAUGCCGCGUGAGUGAAGAAGGCCUUCGGGUUGUAAAGCUCUUUCAGCGAACGAAACGGUCACGGCUAAUACCUGUGACUACUGACGGUACCGGAAGAAGAAGCACCGGCUAACUACGUGCCAGCAGCCGCGGUAAUACGUAGGGUGCAAGCGUUAAUCGGAAUUAUGGGCGUAAAGCGUGCGCAGGCGGUUUUGUAAGUCAGAUGUGAAAUC